GUGAUUUAAGCCAAUCAGUGAGCACCUUUGGAGGGGAGUGUAGGAUUAAUUCCACUCGAAAUGAUAGGGUUGACAAAAGGGGAGAAGUGAUUUCAUAAAAGAGAUCUGGAAUAGUGUCUGGAAGGGAAAUGGAUGCUAGGCAGCCAGUACAUAAUAACUGUCAAUGAGAAUAAUCAAACAUUCAUUUAUGGAGUACCCAACUGUGUGUUGGCCUUGGUUCUGAACAUUUUACACAUAUCAAUUCUCUUAGUGCUCAUGAACACCCUACAAGAUACUACAAUGUUUUCUAUCCCUACGAAAAGACAACAGAGGUCAAAGAGAUCAAGUGUUAACCUUGUUGGAGGGACCGGUUAUUCACAGACGAGAAGGUAAAACAUUGGACAGGGCAUUCGUGCCGGACAGUACUGUGCUAUGAUGGGA
RNAcentral lists this long non-coding RNA (420 nucleotides) under Mustela putorius furo (domestic ferret). RNAcentral describes it as "lncRNA (ENSMPUG00000026006.1)". The record is from RNAcentral. Lineage: Eukaryota; Metazoa; Chordata; Mammalia; Carnivora; Mustelidae.